Long non-coding RNA from Gorilla gorilla gorilla (western lowland gorilla), 788 nucleotides. RefSeq lists it as uncharacterized. The transcript is spliced from 6 exons. The record is from RefSeq and is a predicted model, not a curated record. NCBI's taxonomy places the organism in Eukaryota, Metazoa, Chordata, Mammalia, Primates, Hominidae.
UGCCUUUGCUUUUUCCUGAGCCUUGGUUGCUGCUUCCCAGCCCUGCACUCCAGCCAUGUGGGCGCACUCUGCUCCCUGAACACAAGUGCCCCAGCUUUCCUCAGGCUCCAGUAUUUCUGCCUUUCGCUUAUUAUCUGGUUGAGCUGGUGGCGGGAGUCCCGGCCCAUGUGUGUUACCAGAGGGAUGGUCUAGAGGAUGAAUCCAUCUGUCAGAGGCAUCCAAGAAGAAAGGCCUGGGCCAGGAUCACAUGGAAGACCCUGAAGACAGGAUCGGGUCUUGCCUGCCUGGAUUGAACAGGGACGCAGUGACCAGUCCCAUCUGCUCCCACCCUGCUGCCCUCUGAAUCGAGCGUUUGAGGCCAUGACCAGGGUAACGUUCAGCUGGUAGAGACAACACAACCCUGCUGGCUGUUUAAGCCAUGCUGGAAUGGUGCUCACAGGGUAACAAUUUUCAAGUGCUACGGAUGCAAUAGCUCAGCGACUGGCAGCGCAGCACGUACCUGCUGUCGUGGGAGGUGAGAGCCGCCAGUGCCCGACAGCAGCUGCAAGGCAGUGGUGGCACUCUGCAGCCAGCCGGCCCACCCCUCCAGCAUCUGCAAGGGAGAGGGAGGCUGCCUCACCAAGCUACCUGCUACUCAUGGGGGCGAUGGGCAUCAGGGUGGCCUGCCUGGAGCGGCAGAUAUCUCCAGUAACUGGGCUGGCAUGUCCAUGCCCUGCGCUGCUCUCUUCUCUCAUCUUCCCUUUGCAACCAAGGCUGAUUCCCACAGUCAGUCUCUCCCCCAGAGAACA